This 499-nucleotide unclassified non-coding RNA is filed under the name uncultured Archaeospora. RNAcentral describes it as "SSU rRNA". It matches the Rfam family "Eukaryotic small subunit ribosomal RNA", at positions 591 to 1092 of the family's 1831-position model. The record is from RNAcentral. Lineage: Eukaryota; Fungi; Glomeromycota; Glomeromycetes; Archaeosporales; Archaeosporaceae.
CCAAUAGCGUAUAUUAAAGUUGUUGCAGUUAAAAAGCUCGUAGUUGAAUUUUGGAUUCUUCCAAUUGGUCCAUCUUUUAGAUGAGUACUGGUUGUGUGGGGUCUAUCCGCCUGGUGAUACGUAAUGUCCUUUAUUGGAUGUUUCGGGUAGUCAGGACCUUUACCUUGAAAAAAUUAGAGUGUUUAAAGCAGGCUUAUGCCGGAAUACAUUAGCAUGGAAUAAUAGAAUAGGACGAAGUUGUUUUAUUUUGUUGGUUUCUAGGACAACCGUAAUGAUUAAUAGGGAUAGUUGGGUGCAUUAGUAUUCAAUUGUCAGAGGUGAAAUUCUUGGAUUUAUUGAAGACUAACUACUGCGAAAGCAUUUGCCAAGGAUGUUUUCAUUAAUCAAGAACGAAAGUUAGGGGAUCGAAGACGAUCAGAUACCGUCGUAGUCUUAACCAUAAACUAUGCCGACUAGGGAUCGGGCGAUGUUGUUUCCAUGACUCGCUCGGCACCUUAUG